GCUUGGGGUGGGGACUGCCCUACUACAGAGACGUCUAACAACUUUUUCUGCAGAGGAAGCCACGCCCCGGAAGCUCUGCUGGGCAUGCUCCAGCUGGAGAACAGGUAUAAAAGCCUGCAGAACAGCUCAUUCUGGGCUGACCGCUGGAGAAGAAGGAGGCACGCUGCUAGCUCCUGAGGAGGGAGAGCCUGCGCACCAGGAUCCAGAGGCCAGCCAAGCCGGGACACUCCCUGAUACCCCGAUGGAGGACGUCACAGGAGGAGAAUAGACCGGAGGACCCCCCGCAGCAGAGAACCUGGCAUUUAUGCUUCGGCUCUUUCCCGGACUGCCCCGGCAUCCCCCUCGCAGAGGCUGGCGCAGAU
Long non-coding RNA from Mauremys mutica (yellowpond turtle), 362 nucleotides. RefSeq lists it as uncharacterized. The transcript is spliced from 3 exons. Lineage: Eukaryota; Metazoa; Chordata; Testudines; Geoemydidae. The record is from RefSeq and is a predicted model, not a curated record.